GGGGGCUGGCAUUUCUCCCAGAAGUGUUACAAAUAAACACCUGAACACUUUCUCCUUCAGAACCAGAAGGUUUAAAUAGAAUUCUAUUUAGGUUUUUGAAUUGUGACAUAUGUUAAUCCCAAUGAGAGUCUCUGCGUGAAAGGAAUGUUAGCAGAAUUUUAACAUGGUAUUAUGAGGAUAAUUUGCCACUUUGAGUAAAAAUGCUAUACAUUUUCUGACCUUUGGGAGUUUAAACCUAUAGGAAAGAAGUCAACAAACUAUAGUUUGAUGAUCUGAGACCAACCAUUAUGCAUUAAGAGGAGUGGGAGAGAUUAACAUACACAGUGGAUGUGUAACAAUGACGUAUGUGACAAUUCAAAUAAAUGUUUUCGUGUGAAUGUAAAGUUUUCAAUCAGUUGAUUAAAUACCAAGAAACACGAUUGCUGGCUCAUAUAGUAAAGCCCAAGAGUCUUCUUUGAAGUCUUUAAUAUGAACCAUCAAGGCAUAAAGUUAAGGUCACAGAGCUGUUGUCCUUAUAUCCCAGAGUGGAGGUGCAGAAUUCUCACUCUGGUGAAGACUGACAGGAUCAUCUACUAAAUACAAAGGAGUUAAAAUUCUCAGAAAGAAAAAUGGAAUUUUUUUGGAAUUCAGCUAGAGACAUGGAUUUGGAAAGAGAAAGAAAAAAUUAGUCUUUGUUUGUUUGUAAUGGCCAGUUGAUAAGAGAAAAGUGAUCCUAGAAAUUAUAGUCCCUGCUACUCAGUCCUGGAGCCACUGAGGGAAAAAUACAACCGAAACUUUCAAUACCUAAUGAAUUUUCUCCAACUUACGAAUUUGUUAAUGUUAGACGUCACUCAAGUCUGUGAUCCCUGGGAAGCACAAGUAACAACAGCAAUGUGAAAAGAGAAGGUGGAAGCCGACACGGUGCUGACAAGGAAGAAAUGGGCGGACAGAUGUACAAUUCAUUAAGAUAUGCACAUUGCCUCCUACUCUGUAAGAUAUGCUGAGACCACCUGUCUGAAUUAUGCAAGUUAACAGCUUUCCAUAAAUAUAGUUUUACAAAUGCC
This 1043-nucleotide long non-coding RNA is filed under the name Equus caballus (horse). RNAcentral describes it as "lncRNA (ENSECAG00000030235.3)". The record is from RNAcentral. Lineage: Eukaryota; Metazoa; Chordata; Mammalia; Perissodactyla; Equidae.